AUCCUGUUGAUUAAUAAAAGGUGUGACCUGCUCAAUGAGGAAUCUUAAAUAGCCGCGGUAUUUUGACCGUGCUAAGGUAGCAUAAUCAUUAGUCUUUUAAUUAAAGGCUUGUAUGAAUGGUUGGACGAGAAAAUUUCUGUCUCUGAAUUGAUUUUUGAAGUUUACUUUUAAGUGAAAAGGCUUAAAUGUGUUUAAAGGACGAUCAGACCCUAUAGAGCUUUUUUAUUGGGGCGAUAUAGAGUAAAAAGAAACACUCUAAUAAGUUAACAUAAAUAGAUGAAUUAUUGAUCCUUGUUGAAGGAUUAAGAGUUUAAGUUACCUUAGGGAUAACAGCGUAAUCUUUUUGGAGAGUUCUUAUCGAUGGAAAGGUUUGCGACCUCGAUGUUGGAUUAAGAGAUUGACAGGGUGCAGUAGCUCUGUAAAAAAGUCUGUUCGACUUUUAAAAUCUUACA
RNAcentral lists this ribosomal RNA (452 nucleotides) under Cyclestheria hislopi. Its description in RNAcentral is "partial 16S ribosomal RNA". It matches the Rfam family "Bacterial large subunit ribosomal RNA", at positions 1830 to 2600 of the family's 2925-position model. Lineage: Eukaryota; Metazoa; Arthropoda; Branchiopoda; Diplostraca; Cyclestheriidae. The record is from RNAcentral.